UGAAUUGCAGAAUCCCGUGAACCAUCGAGUCUUUGAAUGCAAGUUGCGCCCGGAGCCUUCGGGCCGAGGGCACGCCUGCCUGGGCGUCACGC
This 92-nucleotide ribosomal RNA is filed under the name Aponogeton azureus. Its description in RNAcentral is "partial 5.8S ribosomal RNA". It matches the Rfam family "5.8S ribosomal RNA", at positions 68 to 154 of the family's 154-position model. From Rfam's summary of the family: 5.8S ribosomal RNA (5.8S rRNA) is a component of the large subunit of the eukaryotic ribosome. It is transcribed by RNA polymerase I as part of the 45S precursor that also contains 18S and 28S rRNA. The record is from RNAcentral. Lineage: Eukaryota; Viridiplantae; Streptophyta; Magnoliopsida; Alismatales; Aponogetonaceae.